This 466-nucleotide ribosomal RNA is filed under the name uncultured bacterium. Its description in RNAcentral is "partial 16S ribosomal RNA". It matches the Rfam family "Bacterial small subunit ribosomal RNA", at positions 28 to 507 of the family's 1533-position model. The record is from RNAcentral.
GACGAACGCUGGCGGCGUGCUUAACACAUGCAAGUCGAACGGAAAGGCCCCUCUCGGGGGGUGCGCGCGAGGCGCGAGCGGGUGUAACACAUGAGUAACAUCUCCUUUUGAUUUUGGUAAAUUUAGAGGAAACGGGGUAUUAUACCGGAUAGGAUCCUGCUGUGUGUGGUGGGUUGUAGAGAGUUGGCGGUGGUGGGUGUGUUCGCGGCUCAUAAGCUUGUUGGUGGGGUAGUGUCUCACCAAGGGUUUUACGGGUGGCCGGCGUGGGGGGGGGACCGGCCAAAUUGGGAUUGAGUUACGGCCAGAACUCCUAGGGGAGGCAGCGGUGGGGAAUAUUGAACAAUGGGCGGAAGCCUGAGCCAGAAACGCCGCGUGCGGGAUACCGGCCUUCGGGUUGUAAACCGCUUUCGCCUGUGACGAAGCGUGAGUGACGGUAAUGGGUAAAGAAGCACCGGCUAACUACGUG